RNAcentral lists this long non-coding RNA (863 nucleotides) under Citrus x clementina. Its description in RNAcentral is "Citrus clementina (C. clementina) long non-coding RNA (CCLE_LNC002665)". Lineage: Eukaryota; Viridiplantae; Streptophyta; Magnoliopsida; Sapindales; Rutaceae. The record is from RNAcentral.
ACUAUAUCUAUUAACAUAAUUAUUAAUUCAUUUAGUAUUGGAUUGUUAUAUAAAAUAUCAACUUAAACAUUAUUUAAUUUUAUUUAAAUUUAAUUACUAAUGUCUAAUCCAAUAUUAUUCUAAACAUGAACAGUACUAUACAUAAUUCAAUUUAAUCUAAUCUUUUCUAAUCUUAUAUGUCAAACAUAGUUUAAUUGUACUACAAGCGUCCGUAUCUAGAACAAAGAAAAAAUUUAAUUAAUUUGUAGUAUGAAUAUAAAGAUUGAAAAAACAUUUGACACGAAAAUUAAUAAGAAUAAAAAGGUCCAUUUAACGACAGAAUCAAUUGGCGUGAAUAUUUAACCCCAAAAAAAAAAUGAAAAUAAGGACAAAAACAAGGAAUCAACAAAGUGCCAUCAUUAUGAUAAUUUCAAAAAAAAAAAAAACAGAAGUUGAAUGGGAAGUUAGGUGGCUGCACGUGCCAUGGUAGGUGAAGUUGAGUGCGUCACCACUGACAAAAGCAAGAUCUAAUGAAAAAGAAAAUGGAUCCUUGUGCUGAGCACUGGGUCAACGGUCAGCAAUUACUCCGGACCCAUAUGGAGAAAGAUGAAAUAAAAAAGGAAACGAUAGUUCUUGGUUCAUGAUUCACCUAUUAAUUUAUAUUUCAUUAUUUUGGGCUUCUUGUUUACUUUUCUAAUUUCAGUUUUUUUCUCUUACUUUCUUUUUCUAGUACGACUAUGGGUCUCAAUAUAUAUGCUACAUCUCAGGUUUUGAUUCGGUUUCUACAGGUUUUGAUUUGGGUUCUGAUCCUUUCGUUUUUGAAAAUUCAAUCCAAACAGAUUUAAAAAUUAAUUCAUUAUGAUCCCAUAUAGAUUUGGGUUAUA